AGAGUUUGAUCAUGGCUCAGAAUGAACACUGGCGGCGUGCUUAACACAUGCAAGUCGAACGAGAAAGGGAUUGCUUGCAAUCCUGAGUAGAGUGGCGCACGGGUGAGUAACACGUAGAUAAUCUACCUUCAAGCCUGGGAUAACUGUUUGAAAGAGCAGCUAAUACCGGAUAAAGUAUGUUAACAUAAGUUAACCUAUGAAAGGUUGCCUCUUCUUGAAAGCAAUUGUUUGGAGAUGAGUCUGCGGGCCAUUAGCUUGUUGGUGGGGUAAAGGCCUACCAAGGCUGCGAUGGUUAGCUGGUCUGAGAGGAUGAUCAGCCACACUGGAACUGGAACACGGUCCAGACUCCUACGGGAGGCAGCAGUGAGGAAUUUUGCGCAAUGGGGUAACCCCUGACGCAGCAACGCCGCGUGAGUGAAGAAGGCCUUUGGGUCGUAAAGCUCUGUCAACUGGGAAGAAGUUACAUUAUAUUAAUAGUAUAUUGUAUUGACGGUACCAGUGGAGGAAGCGCCGGCUAACUCCGUGCCAGCAGCCGCGGUAAUACGGGGGGCGCAAGCGUUAUUCGGAAUUAUUGGGCGUAAAGGGCGCGUAGGCGGUUUUGUCGGUCAGAUGUGAAAGCCCAGGGCUCAACCCUGGNACGUGCAUUUGAAACAGCAAGACUUGAGUACGGGAGAGGAAAGCGGAAUUCCUGGUGUAGAGGUGAAAUUCGUAGAUAUCAGGAGGAACACCGAUGGCGAANGCAGCUUUCUGGACCGAUACUGACGCUGAGGCGCGAAGGCGUGGGUAGCGAACAGGANUANAUACCCUGGUAGUCCACGCAGUAAACGAUGUUCACUAGGUGUAGCGGGUAUUAAAAUCUGCUGUGCCGNAGCUAA
Molecule: ribosomal RNA, 875 nt
Filed under: uncultured bacterium
Lineage: Bacteria
Description: bacterial SSU rRNA
Rfam family: Bacterial small subunit ribosomal RNA
Source: RNAcentral